RNAcentral lists this long non-coding RNA (888 nucleotides) under Salvia miltiorrhiza (redroot sage). RNAcentral describes it as "long non-coding RNA (SMIL_LNC002388)". The record is from RNAcentral. Lineage: Eukaryota; Viridiplantae; Streptophyta; Magnoliopsida; Lamiales; Lamiaceae.
UGAGAUUAUGCAAACUUUGUGCCGUAUGUAGUUGAGGACGAUGGAUAGGGAAUUGGGCAUACCUUGUGAGGAUUUGAGCUUUUAAAUUGUUACUUAAUGCCAAAACAAUUCUUUCUUUAAUUGUGUGAAUUUUGACAUCUUGAUUAAGGGUGAUGCUAGAACUUGCCUUGAUUCUUGGUCGAACCCUGUGUACAUAGUCUAGGUGCGUUGAAUGAUUUAGGCAAAUUCUUUGUUUAGCCCACUGAGCCAAACUGACAAACCCUGAAUCUAUCACUUGCAACCCAUUUUGAGCUUAAUAAUUCUUUUGAAUUCACUUAUAAAUUUGCCUAGAUUUGAGCCGUCCCGGUCAAAACUGAACUUAAGGGCAAAAGGAAGGGAGAAUAGUGUAAUGGAUCCUAUGGGCAGGACUAGUACAAAGAAAGUGCAAAAUGGGAAAUCUAAAUCCCAAAACAGAGAAAAGUCCAGAAAAAGAAAAAGAAAUAAAAAAGGGGAAGGAGAAAAAGAAAAGAAAAAAAAAGAGGAAGAAUAAAGGGAAGAAUGUGCUUAGGCCCGUAAGAAUAGGCAAGGAUCUAAAAAAAAUUCUGAGAAGUCUGUGCCAGAAUGAAGUUCAGUAUGACCUUAGCCUCGUACCAAAAAUUCUCACCUCAUGCCUCAAGCCACAUUACAACCCAUGAAAGACCUAAUGAGAUGCGCCUAGAACUUUGACUAAAGGGGAAGACAUUAGAAGAUAGGCAAGCUUAUGGUCAGAACCCAAUCAAGAUGUCCGGAGUGUAAACACGAGCCUAAACACUUGAGAGAAAGAGUGAAAGGGGAGGAACAUCCUUAUGCCCACAACCCGAUCUUGACUCAACUGAUGGCAAUUUUGAUUGUUUGAUCAAGCUACUUGUU